AAGCUUCUCAUCUUCUCUGCUAAGACGGUGAUCAACUGUUAAUGUAUCAGCUACUCCUUUUCUGCUCAAAACUACUCUACAGUCACCCACAUUCGCUACGUGUAAUUCUCCAUCUUUCAACAGCGCACUAGCCACACAAGCUCCACUACUUACACCCUGCUGGCUAAGAAACUCCCUAUCUGUAACCAGGUAGCCUUGGCGAAUGGCUUGUUCUAGUGGUUGAUGAUGAUCAUCAUCUUCUUCCUUUCCUACAUCUUCCAGGGCUUUUACAAUGUUCUUUCCUAAAUUUUCAGCUACAUAGUCAGCUGCUGCACGGCCUCCAUG
This 324-nucleotide unclassified non-coding RNA is filed under the name Hevea brasiliensis (rubber tree). Lineage: Eukaryota; Viridiplantae; Streptophyta; Magnoliopsida; Malpighiales; Euphorbiaceae. The record is from RNAcentral.